RNAcentral lists this non-coding RNA (63 nucleotides) under unclassified sequences. The record is from RNAcentral.
CGCAGAGCAGCGGAGCAGAUUCCGUUAAUGCGGCUCGGUGAUUCCGAACGGUUGCAAGCCCGU